This 214-nucleotide long non-coding RNA is filed under the name Elaeis guineensis (African oil palm). RNAcentral's name for it is "long non-coding RNA (EGUI_LNC030582)". The record is from RNAcentral. Lineage: Eukaryota; Viridiplantae; Streptophyta; Magnoliopsida; Arecales; Arecaceae.
UGAUGGUGUCUAUUCUGUCGGUAAUUGCUGAUUGAGGUCUGAUUGCACCUUUUUGUUGAUUACGUGUACUUGUUGUAUCUUUUUCUUACUCUGAUGUGCUUUGAUGUUUAUAGAUAUCUUACUUGGAUCAUGACUUACAUGAGUGAAAAUAAUUUGCUGGCAUUUAUACAUAAGACUUGAUCGCUGAAGAACUGGUUAUAUGUGAAUCAUGACC